RNAcentral lists this ribosomal RNA (117 nucleotides) under Lepisosteus oculatus (spotted gar). Lineage: Eukaryota; Metazoa; Chordata; Actinopteri; Semionotiformes; Lepisosteidae. The record is from RNAcentral.
GCCGGCAGCUAUAUCACCCUGCAGCUCUCAAUUGGCAGCCCCAAUGAAGCUAAGCAGGGUUGACCUGGUCAGUACCUGGAUAUGAGACCUCCUGGGAAGCUAUAGUUGCUGCUGGAA